CGUGCGGUGGCAGAGUAUUCAUGUGCCGGUCUGCAAAACCGGAUUACGCGGGUGAGAUUCCCGUCCGCACGUCCA
This 75-nucleotide transfer RNA is filed under the name Azoarcus sp. RNAcentral describes it as "tRNA-Cys". It matches the Rfam family "tRNA". From Rfam's summary of the family: Transfer RNA (tRNA) molecules are approximately 80 nucleotides in length. Their secondary structure includes four short double-helical elements and three loops (D, anti-codon, and T loops). The record is from RNAcentral. Lineage: Bacteria; Pseudomonadati; Pseudomonadota; Betaproteobacteria; Rhodocyclales; Zoogloeaceae.